AGCAGUUAUUUAUUGUGAGAAGUUUGUUAUAGUGUGAAGUUUGCGUCUCUUGUGCAGCCAUACAGUCGUUCUGAGCCACACCCUAAGUGAGCUGCUGUGGCUUUUUUAGAGCGCACCCCUUUACCAGCAGUCACUGAGCAAGGCUUAUUCAAAAGCCAUGACGCCACACUUGAUGUCGGUCCCUCUGAUUCUGCUAUGGCAGUUGCUGUGUUGCGUGGAGGCCCUUCGAGUGAGUCAGUUCCCGCCAGACUUGGUCCUAAAUCCCCAAGCUUCACUGAAAGUCAACUGCACAAUAUUUGAUGUCCCCAACCCAAACCUGUUCUGGUACCGGCAGAGAGCCUCCGGGGAGAUGGAGCUGAAGUUCUUCUCCAUAGGAGUACGCAAUAUGGACCCGAAAGAAGAAGUGGACGGGUUCAGGGCCAGUAGGCCUGUGGACCUGCAGCUGUUGUUAGAGUCUGAUGGUGUACAGCUGGCAGAACCGGCUGUAUGGUUCUGCGCUGCCAGUCAAGCACAGUGAC
Alosa sapidissima (American shad) is the source of this 518-nucleotide non-coding RNA. Lineage: Eukaryota; Metazoa; Chordata; Actinopteri; Clupeiformes; Clupeidae. The record is from the annotation of a RefSeq genome assembly.